GAUCAGCUGUUUGUUUGUGUACAUACAGAAAAUUCAUAUUCAUUUCAUUAGUUAAUAUUAUUUACAAUACCUUUAAAUUAUUAUCGAAAAACAUAAAAUUGCACUUGUACCUAUUUCUUGUUUCAAUAUCGCAAGAUGUCCUUAUUAUUACGCACUGAUGUGACAAGUUUAAAGUUUUAUAAAAACUUUAUUUUAGCAGGAAUUGGAAGCUUUUUAUCUGUAAUUCAAUAUGAUAUAAAUCGACUUUUACAAAAAUUACAUGUAUUGAAAGGCCAAAAGAUCUAUGGCAUAGUUCCUUGUAAUGACAAACUCUUGAUAUUUGGUGGUAAACAGUAUGCUGUUAUUAAAUAUAUAGUAAACAAUACCUUUGAACUAUGUCUUCAGCCAACUAUUUGUGAAGAUUGGUUACAUUCCGGAGUGUGGGUAGGAGAAGAUAGAGUUGCUUUGCUUACUGCUCAUAAUGUCGUUCAGAUUUGGAAUAUAAACCAAAAUAAACUUAAUAUGAAGUAUGUGAGCAUGGAUAAUUCAAUACUAUACAGUGGCCUGUUGGUUCCACUUGCUGAUGGAGUUCUUGUGUUCAGUGGUACAGUGUUCUCUGAAGUUCUGAUUGGUUGCUGUAAUGAUCAGAUAACACCACUACAGAAUCUAAAAGGCCAUAAGGGUGCUAUAUUUUCAAUAAGCUGCAAUAUGGAAAAGCAAAUCAUAGUAACAACAUCUGAUGAUAGAUCUGUUCGAAUUUGGACAGUGAAAAAUACUGUCAGUCAUGAGAAUAAUACAAUAAAAUUUUGGAAGAAUGCCAUGAUAUCAUGUGAACAUGAAUUAUAUGGUCAUAGUGCCCGAGUAAUGAGUAACUGUAUUACCAAUGAUUUUGUUAUAUCUAUUGGAGAAGAUUCUGGAAUAGUAUUUUGGGAUUUUGAUGGAAAAUUGAUUAGAAGAGUUUCUCAUACAAUUGCAAGUGUCUGGUCUUUAGACGCAAAUGAUAAAUUUGUCAUCACAGGUGGUGGUGAUUGUGCAUUAAUGUUGCAUCCAUCCUCUGUUACCAGUAAAGACAAAUCACAGGAAGUUAUUAAAUUAAAUUUAGAUUCACCAAAGAAAGUAGCAUUCACUGCAAGAAGAAACAUAGUCACAAUUAAUGAAAGUAAUGAUUUUGUUUACUAUGAUGUAGAUAAGAAGAUUGAAACUCAUUUUAAGUUGGAACAUGAGUCAACAUUUAAGUUAUUAGGCAUAUCUAACUGUAAACAAUUAAUUGCCGUUGUAGAUAUGUCUGGAAAGUUAGAUAUUUGGAUAGAAAAUUGUAAAAGAGAUGCAUUUCUAAGUAAAAUAGUUGAUACAAAGCUGGAUAUUGGCAGAAUUCUGUCAAUGCAUUGGGCUGAUAAUCGUCAUCUAGCAUUUUGUUCAAAUAAUGGAAUUAUAAGUAUUAUUGCCGCUAAUGGUAAUAGUGUUGAAGUAUAUGCACAUGUUAUACUUCCUCUAUGUAAAGAAAGGUGGCUUACUGCUUGUGCGUACAAAAAUGAAACUUUUAUAGCUGGUGAUAGAUGUGGGAACAUACAUGUCUUUGUGAUAUCACAAAAUGAACCAAUCAAGUCUUUCAAACACAUUCAUGGCCGAUAUGGUCCAACCUCAAUAGUAAUACAACAAAAUUGUUUUGUUACAACAGGAAGAGAUGGAACUAUUAAAUAUUUUUCUCUAAAACCUUUAAAGUACUUAAGUUCCAAAGAGUUUGACUUUCAAUGGGUUGAAUGUUUUGUUGAUAAAAAUAAGCAAUAUAUAUGUGGUUUUCAAGAGAGAGUUUUUGUUAUAUAUGACUUGUUAUUACAUAAUAAAAUACUGGAAAUUCCAUGUGGCGGUGGACAUAGGUCUUGGGAUAUUACACAAUACAAACACAAGACAGAAAAAGUUGUUUGUGAGUAUGUUGAAUUCAUGUAUUUGAAAAGUUCAAGCCUUUAUUUGGAGAGAUAUAACUUAAACAAUAUUGUUUCUAAGCCAAUUAUCAACGGCAGUCAUUCUAAAGUAAUCAAUUGCUUAAAAACUAUUUGUAAGAAUGAUGCUGAAACACUUUUUAUUUCUGGUGGUGAAGACACUACACUAAGAAUAUCAACAAACAUAGGAACAGAAUUUAAAGAUGUCCUGAUUUACAAACAUUUGUCAAACAUAAGAACAUUAAAAGCUGUAAUGAUUGAUGAAAACCGAUAUAUUUUAAUAUCGGCGGGAGGUAGGGCUCAGAUUUGUGUGAAAAUACUUAGUAUUGAAGACUUAUCUAUUGAAGAGAUAACUAAUUAUAUGAUUAAAGGAUCUGAUAAGGAACGAAAAGGGAAUAACAGCUGGAGAAACUGUGCAGUAGAUUUUAAUCCUGAAACUAGGAUUAUGGAUUUGGAUGUAUCUGUAAAUGGUGAUGAAUUUAUUGUUUACGCUGGAUGUUCUGAUGCUAUACUGAGAGUAUUCCAAUUACUUACAAUUUAUCCUCAUGACUUUAAACUCAUCAAAGAGAUAAAGUAUCACAACACUUGUAUACUAAAAACAAAGACGGUCAAUAUUUCAAACAGAACUGUACUUAUAAGUUGUACAUCUCGAGGAAUUAUAUCAGUAUUUGAUGAAAAAACAUUAGAUAAACCUAUAUUUUCUACAAUGGUGCACAGUUCUGGAAUAAAUAGUCUAGCAAUUAAAGUCAUAUCGGAAUCUAGAUUGCUAAUAGCUACUGGUGGAGAUGAUAAUGCAAUUCACGUGAACAUUUUAGAUCUAGGUGAAUGUAGGGUUGUUUCAACUUGGUCGAGUACCAAUAGCCAUUGCUCUCAGGUAACGGGGCUUGUAUUUGCCGAUGAGUACCUAAUAUCAUGUAGUAUCGACCAGAGAGUUACCAUGUGGAGAGUUUGUGUAGGUGAACAUGUCGGGUGUGAAUACAUUCAGCAAGUGUAUAGUGAUGUGGCCGAUAUACAAGGAAUUGAUUUAGUUCAAGUGAAUGGGACUAGUAUUCAGGUGUGUGUGUUUGGCAAGGGAUUGGAGGUGCUGAGUCUAGAGAUGAAGUGAGAUUGAUGCAAAACGGGUCGGUGUGUGAUAGGAUCGGAAACAUUUCUCUCGUCCAAGUUGAUGUCAGUGAAGGUGAAGGCUGUGACGGAGCCCGUGUGGCUGGGCGAAGGUCCUCACUGGUCGCACCACCACCAGGCCCUGUUCUUCGUCAGCAUCUUCGACCGCACCA
RNA transcript from Leptidea sinapis, 3193 nucleotides. It is a transcript of the gene named regucalcin, with no coding region annotated. Lineage: Eukaryota; Metazoa; Arthropoda; Insecta; Lepidoptera; Pieridae. The record is from RefSeq and is a predicted model, not a curated record. The transcript has 6 exons.